This is a long non-coding RNA of Lagopus muta (rock ptarmigan), 1228 nucleotides long. RefSeq lists it as uncharacterized. The record is from RefSeq and is a predicted model, not a curated record. The transcript is spliced from 3 exons. NCBI's taxonomy places the organism in Eukaryota, Metazoa, Chordata, Aves, Galliformes, Phasianidae.
CCUCAUUUAAGGGUUGGCAGUGGAGGUGAGGGUUUUUCAUUGGAGAUCCCUGCCUACCUGAGGCCUUCUGGGCGUAAGUCUUAGGGCUUUUUAAUCAUCUCCUGAUUGUCCUGAAAGUAAUGACAGGGAAUGGAAGGAAGAGUUUCCAAAAUGAUCUGCUGGGCUGAUGUAGCACCAUCUUGAUGGGAGCCGCGAUGCAGCUGAACAAACUUUCACCUCAAACAGCCUAAUGUAUUGACUUCAUACGGGAGAACAGGGCUAUAAAAAUUGCAACCCUGUGUUGCUUCAACAGUGCUCAAGCAGUGAAGAUGGAUAUCAGCCUAAGCAAUAUAAAGGACUCCAAAUCUGCUUAGUGGCAUCUGAUGGCAUAUUUAGUGUUAGUACUCAGAUGGGCUUCACUACAAUGUUUUUUGAACACAUCUGCUAGUCUGUGAGCUUUCUUUAUUAAUGAAUCACAAAGAGGCACUGGGAAUGAAUGUAUAGUUACAAGUGAUUGGUCUGCAAAUAUAUAUUUUUUUUCUCCUUGGCUUUUAAAUUACCUGCUUAGUAUUUUAGGGAUUGCAACUUAGUGGGAGUGAUAUGCCUAAAGGCUGUCUGAGCGUCUGGAAUUCUCCUUCAUAAAGCAAUUCUCUGGUCAAGCUUUCAGGUGCAUUUUAUAUGGGAGAGUUCUGUUGAUGCCUAUUCAGAGGCUGUCAUGUGCUUUAUGACUAUAUAUUGGUGCCUGAUAUGAAGACAGAGUCCAAAGAAUUUGCAAAACAUGGCACCUUGCUGUGUCUUUAAAGAGCUCGUGAAUCUUCAUCAUUGAUAUUCUAACCUGUCUUGUAUCUUUUAAAUAAAUUUUUCUAAACAGUUCUUAGGCAAGGUUUGAGUUAGGACUGUGGGUUUUACUGAAUUUCCAUUUUCACUGUUGUACUUCUCUACUUUUGAGGAUAUCAUUGUGUUGUGCAUAGCUGGUUGUAUUCCCAAGACUCAAGGAAACUAUUUCCUGGCUGUCAGGAUGAACAAAUGGCUCCUGUAAUACCUUCGAUCAUUUUCUUAUUUACAGACAAUUUUAUUUGUUUUACACUACCUGAAUUGCCUUUGUAGGUCUUCCAAAUGACACCAGCAUUCAAACACAUCUCUAGUAUUCGUCUGUUCUGUUUAGGUCCCUGUUGCUUGCUCCUUAUGUUCUUUUCUAUGAAAUUUGUAUGAGCCUAUAUAGGCGUGACUUCACAAACAGAAAAAUAAU